GAUGAACGCUGGCGGCGUGCCUAAUACAUGCAAGUCGAGCGAACAGAUGAGGAGCUUGCUCCUCUGACGUUAGCGGCGGACGGGUGAGUAACACGUGGAUAACCUACCUAUAAGACUGGGAUAACUUCGGGAAACCGGAGCUAAUACCGGAUAAUAUAUUGAACCGCAUGGUUCAAUAGUGAAAGACGGUUUUGCUGUCACUUAUAGAUGGAUCCGCGCCGCAUUAGCUAGUUGGUAAGGUAACGGCUUACCAAGGCAACGAUGCGUAGCCGACCUGAGAGGGUGAUCGACCACACUGGAACUGAGACACGGUCCAGACUCCUACGGGAGGCAGCAGUAGGGAAUCUUCCGCAAUGGGCGAAAGCCUGACGGAGCAACGCCGCGUGAGUGAUGAAGGUCUUCGGAUCGUAAAACUCUGUUAUUAGGGAAGAACAAAUGUGUAAGUAACUAUGCACGUUUUGACGGUACCUAAUCAGAAAGCCACGGCUAACUACGUG
Molecule: ribosomal RNA, 497 nt
Filed under: uncultured bacterium
Lineage: Bacteria
Description: partial 16S ribosomal RNA
Rfam family: Bacterial small subunit ribosomal RNA
Source: RNAcentral